Molecule: ribosomal RNA, 286 nt
Filed under: Blastocystis sp.
Lineage: Eukaryota; Bigyra; Opalinata; Blastocystidae
Description: partial small subunit ribosomal RNA
Rfam family: Eukaryotic small subunit ribosomal RNA
Source: RNAcentral
GAUUAAGCCAUGCAUGUGUAAGUAUAAAUAAUUCACUUUGAAACUGCGAAUGGCUCAUUAUAUCAGUUAUAGUUUAUUUGGUGAAGGAUACUAAUUGGAUAACCGUAGUAAUUCUAGGGCUAAUACAUGAGUAAAGCCCGUUGGGAUGUGUUUAUUAGAAUGAAAACCAUAUGCUUCGGAUGAUAGUGAGUAAUAGUAACCUAUCGUAUCGCAUGCUUAAUGUAGCGAUGAGUCUUUCAAGUUUCUGCCCUAUCAGCUUUCGAUGGUAGCAUAUGGGUCUACCAUG